GGAGGGGGGGUGAGAGAAACAAAUGGCAAGGAAUGGAGAAUAAAUGCCGGUCACAGGUCUAGCGACGAAAUAGAGUCUUAAGCAGGACUCGUAGAACUCGUCAACUCCGGUGUUCAUGCAAACAAAGAAAACAGAAAAAAGAAGUUAGAGGAGAAAUCUGAUUCUUGAAUAGUGUCUAAGAGAGGAUAAUAGUCAUUUGAAAGUUCUAUUAAUCGUCUCUAGGAACAUGUUACAAAUUAUUCCCAUAAAUAUAUCUCUAAAGAUAAUGCAACAGAAAGAGAAAGCGACUAGGAUUAUUGUUUCACUGUUACUAUAUCAAAUCAUAGUUCAAGAUAGUAGUUGAUCAUUUGUUAAUAGAUACAAUUUCUGUACAUACUAGCAUAUCUAAGUCUAAACCAAAAGUAGUCAAUUUAUUAUUUUUAGACAAGGUAUUAGUAUGAGAUAGAUUUUAAAUCUAGCAGAACAUAGAGUUGUACUCCAUUUAUAUAUUACGAUCAGAUUUUCAACAACCUAAAGAAAGAUUAUUAUAUCACAGUAGUACCUAAAAUCUAUUAGUACAUUGUAAUAUAACUACAGAUAAGAAAUAUCUAACUCAUUAUUUCCUAAACCAAUCACAGAUGCUUAAUUAAGUAUGCCAGAGGUGAGACGGAUUUGAUUUUACCUUGUGUGGUGCAGUGAACUAGGGGCGUUAUCAGCCUCGAAUCUAUAUUCUGGAACACUUUGGAGUACCUCUGUUGUCGUCCAACAGAAUCAAGGAGAUAUCAGAAACUCUUUUCUUAAA
Molecule: long non-coding RNA, 781 nt
Filed under: Solanum tuberosum (potato)
Lineage: Eukaryota; Viridiplantae; Streptophyta; Magnoliopsida; Solanales; Solanaceae
Description: long non-coding RNA (STUB_LNC009048)
Source: RNAcentral